AGUGAACGCUGGCGGUAGGCCUAACACAUGCAAGUCGAACGGCAGCACAGUAAGAGCUUGCUCUUACGGGUGGCGAGUGGCGGACGGGUGAGGAAUACAUCGGAAUCUACUUUUUCGUGGGGGAUAACGUAGGGAAACUUACGCUAAUACCGCAUACGACCUACGGGUGAAAGCAGGGGAUCUUCGGACCUUUCGCGAUUGAAUGAGCCGAUGUCGGAUUAGCUAGUUGGCGGGGUAAAGGCCCACCAAGGCGACGAUCCGUAGCUGGUCUGAGAGGAUGAUCGGCCACACUGGAACUGAGACACGGUCCAGACUCCUACGGGAGGCAGCAGUGGGGAAUAUUGGGCAAUGGGCGCAAGCCUGAUCCAGCCAUACCGCGUGGGUGAAGAAGGCCUUCGGGUUGUAAAGCCCUUUUGUUGGGAAAGAAAAGCAGCAGGUUAAUACCCCGCUGUUCUGACGGUACCCAAAGAAUAAGCACCGGCUAACUUCGUG
RNAcentral lists this ribosomal RNA (492 nucleotides) under uncultured bacterium. RNAcentral's name for it is "partial 16S ribosomal RNA". It matches the Rfam family "Bacterial small subunit ribosomal RNA", at positions 29 to 507 of the family's 1533-position model. The record is from RNAcentral.